This 474-nucleotide ribosomal RNA is filed under the name uncultured bacterium. Its description in RNAcentral is "bacterial SSU rRNA". It matches the Rfam family "Bacterial small subunit ribosomal RNA", at positions 28 to 492 of the family's 1533-position model. The record is from RNAcentral.
GAUGAACGCUAGCGACAGGCCUAACACAUGCAAGUCGAGGGGCAGCAUGGUAUCAGCUUGCUGAUACCGAUGGCGACCGGCGCACGGGUGAGUAACGCGUAUGUAAUCUGCCUGUAACAGAGGGAUAACCCGGAGAAAUCCGGCCUAAUACCUCAUAGCACAUAUUAUUCGCAUGAGUUUUAUGUUAAAGAGACUCGGUUACAGAUGAACAUGCGUUCCAUUAGCUGGUUGGCGGGGUAACGGCCCACCAAGGCAACGAUGGAUAGGGGUUCUGAGAGGAAGGUCCCCCACACUGGUACUGAGACACGGACCAGACUCCUACGGGAGGCAGCAGUGAGGAAUAUUGGUCAAUGGGCGAGAGCCUGAACCAGCCAAGUCGCGUGGAGGAAGACGGCCCUACGGGUUGUAAACUCCUUUUAUAAGGGAAUAACGGGCGCUACGCGUAGCGCUGUGCAUGUACCGGGAGAAUAAGCA